RNAcentral lists this ribosomal RNA (519 nucleotides) under uncultured bacterium. RNAcentral's name for it is "bacterial SSU rRNA". It matches the Rfam family "Bacterial small subunit ribosomal RNA", at positions 8 to 518 of the family's 1533-position model. The record is from RNAcentral.
AGAGUUGAUCAUGGCUCAGGAUGAACGCUAGCUACAGGCUAACACAUGCAAGUCGAGGGGCAGCAGAUCGAAAGCUUGCUUUGAUGCUGGCGACCGGCGCACGGGUGAGUAACGCGUAUCCAACCUUCCCUAUAGUAGAGAAUAGCCCGGCGAAAGUCGGAUUAAUGCUCUAUGUUGUAUUUAGAGGACAUCUGAAGAAUACCAAAGGUUUACCGCUAUAGGAUGGGGAUGCGUCUGAUUAGGUAGUAGGCGGGGUAACGGCCCACCUAGCCGACGAUCAGUAGGGGUUCUGAGAGGAAGGUCCCCCACAUUGGAACUGAGACACGGUCCAAACUCCUACGGGAGGCAGCAGUGAGGAAUAUUGGUCAAUGGACGGAAGUCUGAACCAGCCAAGUAGCCGUGCAGGAUGACGGCCCUAUGGGUUGUAAACUGCUUUUAUAUAGGGAUAAAGUCGGGGACGUGUCCCCGUUUGUAGGUACUAUAUGAAUAAGGACCGGCUAAUUCCGUGCCAGCCGCAGC